UCCUACGGGACGCAGCAGUGGGGAAUAUUGCACAAUGGGGGAAACCCUGAUGCAGCGACGCCGCGUGAGUGAAGAAGUAAUUCGUUAUGUAAAGCUCUAUCAGCAGGGAAGAAAAUGACGGUACCUGAGUAAGAAGCCCCGGCUAACUACGUGCCAGCAGCCGCGGUAAUACGUAGGGGGCAAGCGUUAUCCGGAUUUACUGGGUGUAAAGGGAGCGUAGACGGCUGCGCAAGUCAGAAGUGAAAGCCCGGGGCUCAACCGCGGGACUGCUUUUGAAACUGUGUAGCUAGAGUGCAGGAGAGUUA
RNAcentral lists this ribosomal RNA (305 nucleotides) under uncultured bacterium. RNAcentral describes it as "bacterial SSU rRNA". It matches the Rfam family "Bacterial small subunit ribosomal RNA", at positions 337 to 659 of the family's 1533-position model. The record is from RNAcentral.